This 300-nucleotide long non-coding RNA is filed under the name Monodelphis domestica (gray short-tailed opossum). RNAcentral's name for it is "lncRNA (ENSMODG00000046182.1)". The record is from RNAcentral. Lineage: Eukaryota; Metazoa; Chordata; Mammalia; Didelphimorphia; Didelphidae.
GAUGGUGCCAUCAAACAAUACUGGUUACUAUGUCUAGUGGAAAGCCAUUAUGCCAUGAAGAGUCUUGAAGUCCAGUAGCAAGACAAAAGGCAGGGUGACUGGUGAUGGCCCAGGAUGCAUUAGAUGACCUUCGCCUCUUCAAUGUCUGACCAAGAUCUAAGAGCUCCACAGAAUCUUCUUCCAAAGCCUUCAUGGCUAUUGGGACAAAUUGUUCUCAUCUGCCCAUUCCAUUGGAAUGUUAGAGGAUGUUGGAGACAGACCAUUUGUACUGACAGUGUGGAUGUGAAGCUCAAUGAAAAC